This 470-nucleotide ribosomal RNA is filed under the name Nitrincola sp. M3-C1. Its description in RNAcentral is "bacterial SSU rRNA". It matches the Rfam family "Bacterial small subunit ribosomal RNA", at positions 16 to 482 of the family's 1533-position model. The record is from RNAcentral. Lineage: Bacteria; Pseudomonadati; Pseudomonadota; Gammaproteobacteria; Oceanospirillales; Oceanospirillaceae.
AUCAUGGCUCAGAUUGAACGCUGGCGGCAGGCCUAACACAUGCAAGUCGAGCGGUAGAAAGUAGCUUGCUACUUUUGAGAGCGGCGGACGGGUGAGUAACGCGUGGGAAUCUACCUGGUAGUGGGGGACAACUUGGGGAAACUCAAGCUAAUACCGCAUACGCCCUACGGGGGAAAGGAGGGGCUCUUCGGACCUUUCGCUAUCAGAUGAGCCUGCGUAGGAUUAGCUAGUUGGUAGGGUAAAGGCCUACCAAGGCGACGAUCCUUAGCUGGUCUGAGAGGAUGAUCAGCCACACUGGGACUGAGACACGGCCCAGACUCCUACGGGAGGCAGCAGUGGGGAAUAUUGGACAAUGGGGGCAACCCUGAUCCAGCCAUGCCGCGUGUGUGAAGAAGGCCUUCGGGUUGUAAAGCACUUUCAGUGGUGAGGAAGGGUGUAAAGUUAAUACCUUUAUACAUGACCGUAGCCCC